AUGGCGGCAGAAGGAGCAACUCCUCUCCUCAACAACCUCCCAGAUGAGAUCGUCAUCUGGGAGAUCCUCGUCCGCCUCGACCCCAAAUCGCUCCUCCACUGUCGCGCCGUCCGCCGUGCCUGGCGCUGCGCCACGUUCUCCCUCCCUUCCUCCUUGCCCACCAUGCCCGACAACCCGCCCUCCCCAUCUUCUCCAGCGGCAGAGACAGUCACAUCCUCUCCAUCGACCACCGGGCCGCUCAGCCUCAGUUUCACAUGGUCGCCCGCCAUGACUCCCUUCAUUUUGGAGUCCUCCUGCGAUGGCCUCCUCCUCUCCAGGACUCACAGGCCUUACUGGAGCCCGUCUGGAACCUUUCAUUCUGAAAGCAGCCUCGCCGUCUAUAACCCGGCCACAGGUGAGCAUGCGUACCUAGGCCUGCUACCGUGGGGCUUCAGUAUCUUGGGGAUGUACCCACACCGCCCUACCGCCGAGUACCGGCUGCUACUCACCAACUCCAGGGUUCCUGAAUACCAAAUUGGUUGUUAUGUCCUUACGCUGGGCUCCGACCAGCCAUUGAGGUACAUUGGGUGGCUGGAAAUAGUAAAAGCGUUGUGCAUCGAGACACCGCCCGCCCUAUUUCGUGAUAGCCCUGCAUUGGUUCCCAGUGAAGCAUAG
RNAcentral lists this ribosomal RNA (654 nucleotides) under Triticum aestivum (bread wheat). RNAcentral describes it as "partial small subunit ribosomal RNA". Lineage: Eukaryota; Viridiplantae; Streptophyta; Magnoliopsida; Poales; Poaceae. The record is from RNAcentral.